RNAcentral lists this transfer RNA (61 nucleotides) under Myosotella myosotis (mouse ear snail). Its description in RNAcentral is "tRNA-Cys". It matches the Rfam family "tRNA". From Rfam's summary of the family: Transfer RNA (tRNA) molecules are approximately 80 nucleotides in length. Their secondary structure includes four short double-helical elements and three loops (D, anti-codon, and T loops). The record is from RNAcentral. Lineage: Eukaryota; Metazoa; Mollusca; Gastropoda; Ellobiida; Ellobiidae.
GAGUUGGUAGUUAAAAGAUAACAUUAAGUUGCAAACUUAAAGAUGGGCUACCCCUAACUCU